RNAcentral lists this ribosomal RNA (568 nucleotides) under Physarum auriscalpium. RNAcentral's name for it is "SSU rRNA". It matches the Rfam family "Eukaryotic small subunit ribosomal RNA", at positions 28 to 537 of the family's 1831-position model. Lineage: Eukaryota; Evosea; Eumycetozoa; Physariida; Physaraceae. The record is from RNAcentral.
AUGCUUCUCCUAAAGACUAAGCCAUGCAUGCCUCCGACUAGAAGAGCAUCUCUCUGAAUCUGCGAACGGCUCCGCAAACCAGUUGUAAACUAGGGCAAGCAGCCCUUAGGCGAACCGCAAGGUGCUGCCUUUGGGCAUAGGGAUACCCCUGGUAAUUCUGAGGCUAAUACAUGAACGCAACACCCGACCGACCGGGUAACUGGAAGGAUGGGGACUGUGUGAAUGAGUCGCAGUUUUGCUGGGAAACAGUCGCAUAGCCAGACCACCAUACCAAACGGUUCCUCCUUACGACGGCCCUUCGGGGUACAGUUCGGGGGUUCUGGGUGGCUCUUGACGAGUGCUUCUGACCUAUCAACUAGAUGGCAGCGUAAAAGACAUGCCAUGGUUACAACGGGUACAGAGGAUAAGGGUUCGAUCCUGGAGAGUGGGCCUGAGAGAUUGCUCACACUUCUAAGGAAGGCAGCAGGCGCGCAACGUUCCCAUUGGGCAAUGCCCGAGGGCGUUAGGGGACAUAUGAAUGCCUGCCUUUUGGUGGGCAAUUCAAAUGGGACUGUUCUAAACAGCCCAU